GGAGGUUUUUCUUAUGAGGGACUUGAGCUGCUCCGUCUGCUUUCUGGAUCCCUUCAUCUUGUCUGGACGCUGGCAUCGAGAUGUUGUGAAAUUCCAAGGGGACGUAUGUCUUGGCCCGUCAGAGGCGGCUGGCUGCCAGGACUCCUCUCAGCUCGCUCCCCGAAGACCCCUGGCUCCACAGAAACAGGAAAUGGAUAGGGGCGGAGGUAAACAUGACUUUUGGGACAAGGAGAACAGCGGGGUACCACGCUAUGAUCACCUGUGGAAUGAGAGGUACGCACAGGGGCUCAAAUGUCUGGAAGAAUAUACCACAAUGUCUCUUUUACUGCAUUAUUUAUGCUGCUUCAGUACUUUGCUUCGGUAGUUCAUUUCAUGUUUCAUACUUUGAGAGGAUGACCAGCCGAACUCCCAUAGUGCUUUGAUAAUCGUCGGCAUUAUCAAAUACUGUGCAUACAAAAAUGUAUACAACAAAAAGAUAUGCACACUUAUGCAGUUUGGUCUGCCACAUUGAAACAUUUCAUCGAGUCUAUUGUGAAAUUAUUCAAUUCAAUUGUACAUGACACAUUUAUGUAGGCAUGCAUUUUAAUUCAAUAAUUGUGUAAUUAAUAUUGCAUUAGUACUGGUAAUGGGCCCGUUGCAUUCAAAGACAAGAACUCUCUGCCUAUAGGGACGAUUGUUUUAAUACAGUCGGAAUGCAAAGCAAAUUAUAGUCAUUUGACUUAUUUGUAAUAUAAAAUGUGCCUUCUAUAAACGUGUCGUGUUUGACUGAAGGGUUACUUCAUGCUAUGUUUCUGCCUCAUUAAUAUCAAUUCCCAGUGGGUUGGAUGUGUUUCACUGUCUGUAGUGCACAUUUCAAACUCCGAACUGCACACACACACACACACACACACACACACAUUCUGACAGGCCCUCAAUAUUUUAUAAUUUUUUUUAAAAUCAUGAGUAAAAAUUUUGGGUGUUUAAAACAUUUAUGGCUGAUUAGCAGAUAACUUAUCCC
This 997-nucleotide long non-coding RNA is filed under the name Cottoperca gobio. RNAcentral's name for it is "lncRNA (ENSCGOG00000022130.1)". Lineage: Eukaryota; Metazoa; Chordata; Actinopteri; Perciformes; Bovichtidae. The record is from RNAcentral.